RNAcentral lists this ribosomal RNA (253 nucleotides) under uncultured bacterium. RNAcentral describes it as "partial 16S ribosomal RNA". It matches the Rfam family "Bacterial small subunit ribosomal RNA", at positions 524 to 776 of the family's 1533-position model. The record is from RNAcentral.
UACGGAGGGUGCAAACGUUGCUCGGAAUCAUUGGGUGUAAGGCGCACGUAGGCGGUCUGUUAAGUCGGAUGUGAAAGCCCCGGGCUCAACCCGGGAAGUGCAUACGAAACUGGCGGACUUGAAUAUGGAAGAGGGUCGCGGAAUUCCCGGUGUAGAGGUGAAAUUCGUAGAUAUCGGGAGGAACACCAGUGGCGAAGGCGGCGACCUGGGCCAAUAUUGACGCUAAUGUGCGAAAGCGUGGGGAGCAAACAGG